CAUUUGUAUACUGAUGUUUAUAGGCAA
RNAcentral lists this non-coding RNA (27 nucleotides) under Rattus norvegicus (Norway rat). The record is from RNAcentral. Lineage: Eukaryota; Metazoa; Chordata; Mammalia; Rodentia; Muridae.